GCGUGUGACACUGGUCGGCGACGCGGCGGGGUACGUGACCAAGUGCUCCGGCGAGGGGAUCUACUUCGCGGCCAAGAGCGGGCGGAUGUGCGCGGAGGCGAUCGUGGCCGGGUCGGCGAACGGGACGCGGCUGGUGGACGAGAGCGACCUGCGCAAGUACCUGGCGGAGUUCGACCGGCUCUACUGGCCGACGUACAAGGUGCUGGACAUCCUGCAGAAGGUGUUCUACCGCUCCAACGCGGCGCGGGAGGCGUUCGUGGAGAUGUGCGCCGACGACUACGUGCAGCGGAUGACCUUCGACAGCUACCUCUACAAGCGCGUCGUGCCGGGCAACCCCAUCGAGGACAUCAAGCUCGCCGUCAACACCAUCGGCAGCCUCGUCAGGGCCACCGCGCUGCGCCGGGAGAUGGGGAAGCUCACCUUGUGAUCACCGACACACCGGAAACGUCCCUGACAUCCUGCUUGGGUUGCUCGAAGCUGCGGCGGAUCGAUCGGUAUAGCAGAGAUCCGCGGCCGAUCGAACGGAUUUGAGGCAGAGGAGAUGAGAAUAAAGAGGUAAUGGCGUCGAUCGAGAGGUCGUGUCUUGGUCGAACCUGUCCCAUUUUCUUGUACGGUGAUGUUCAGACUUCAGAACAGUUCGUCUGGAUUGUUGAAGCACGCCAAUAUUCGAUAUGUGAAUGAAUGUAGUAUAAACUAAGGUUUCAAGUUUUUUGUUCAUGUUUGUUCUCGCGAACGAGAAGUAGAAUGAAAUGGGAUAACAACAACCAGACACCACGUUGAAUUUGGAGAUAUGUUGUGGGAUAUCCGGUGAAAACAGUGUACCGUGAUUAUGAAUGUAUUUUGAUACUACAUAUGGUUGUUAUUUAAUGUGUCCUUUUUCUGUGUUGGAGCAACAUCCACUUUAGCUCGGAAGAAAUGCAACCCCGUUGCCACGUUUUUGUGGGAAGCCCUUGUUGGAGCCCGGCAAUCGCGGAACGACCGUAAGUCGUUGCAGGCCUCUGGGCUAGGGUAUGAUUCUCAGCUGGUUAGGAUUAUAUUUUGCAAAUUCAUGGUAAAAGGUGUGUGUCCAGUAAAACCAGGUACCAUGGUCCAUCUACUGCCAGGCUAGUAGUCCACGCUGAGAAGGCCUAGUGCGGCAUCUAGCCCACUGGAGGAACUCGGAAAUCACCCUGCGAGGCUCCGGUUUCGCGAGGAUCCACCUUUCUUUAAGGCCUCGUUUGGUUCAUCUUUCUUUAAGGCCUCGUUUGGUUAAGGGGGAUUGGUGAGGUUUGGAGAGGGAGUGAUUUCAGGGGAUUGGGUGAAUCCCUUUGUUCCACCCAAUCCUCUCAAAUCCCCGGGGUUUUGCUUCCACUAGUCCUCCGAGGAGGGUUUUGAAACACAUGGAUAGGAAGGGAUUGAAGGGGAACGGAGGGGAUUGGGCUAAGCAAACCGCUCCUACCAAAUGGACGCGCGAGGAUCUGUGGGUUUCUGGGCCCCCCGGGAUUUUCCUCUCAAACCCUCCCCAAUCCUCCUUAACCAAACGAGGCCUAAGGGGGACCCAUGAGACGUCUGUCCAUCAGCAGCAAGAGGAGGCUGCUUCCCGCAAGGCUGUGUGACUAAAGGGACCAUUCAAUAUUGGAGACACAACGGUGUGCAUUCCACAUGGAUGACAUGCAGUUCCAGCAGAGGAAGCAAGGAUGGGUCAGCGGACGUCGCAGGAGAAUCUUUCCCCUUUGAGGAUAAAAGGGUGGCAAGCAGUUGUCCCUCGGAAGGCGAUUUCCAAUGCUUAUCCAAUUGGUGCAAGGAGACUAAUGUGACAUCGGUCGCUAGGGCGGACGUCAUCCAGGGCCGGCUCAACGAUUUCGAAAGCCCCGGGGCGAACUUCAUCAGUGGGCCCAACCAAGAUUUUUUUCUUCGAUCGAUACACGAACAAUUACAUAUAUUAUGAAGUCAUAUAGAGUAGUUAUAUUUCCUUAGAAUCAAAUAUCUGAUAUUUUUCAUGUCUUUGUUCAAACUCAAGUAUCAUAGAAGCUACAAUGCACGAAAAGAAUAUAGAAAUAGCAUCCUAGCAAACCUCCAUUAAUCAUGAGAAGCGAGACUUCCGUGCAUUUGUUGAUGCAAAAUCAUCUAUGACAAUGUCAAGAUCAAUGAUGUCCAACAUAUUCCUCUCGAUGCAGCACAUGGCCAAACCAUUCAAUCUCUCUUGGGACAUGGUUGACCUCAAAUAAUUUUUCAGUAAUUUCAAUUCUGAGAAACUCCGUUCAGCUGAUGCAACAGUGACAGGUACGGUCAAGAGGAUACGAUAAGCAAUUGAGACAUUUGGAUAACAUUCCGCAGCUCUAACAAACUCAAAUAUCUGAUCCGCUAACAUGAGUGUGUGUGGCAAUGUCAUCUGCAAUACUUUUAGUUCAGAAACAAAAUCAUCUAAAUCAACAUCCGCGGACUUACCAUGAGUGAAAGUCUUGACAAAAUUAGUGCAGCAUCUUCUUAGAUCAUUAUCACCCAAUAGCUUCAAUUCUUUUGAGUUGAACAAGAAUCCAAAUAUACUCCCAAAUGACUUCAGUUCCUCAAAUCUAUUAGUCAAGGAAGCAAUUGCAACAUCAAUCAUCACCAGAAAAUAUUUAACUCUAAAUGAUUCCACCUCAUUUGCUUGCUCUUCUUGAUUCUGGUCAUUUUCUUCAUUGCCAAUAAUUUCAUCGAAUUGUCUUUUUCUGGUAAUACGCCGCUUUACAGGAAAUGAAGGUUGUACACCCAUGUCGAUUGCAAUAGAUCUCGCAAUAUCCAAGCUAGUAGCAAAGCCUUCAUUUCUGUACUUCUCAAAAUAAGAGAUGGCACCUUCAAUCUGUUUAAGAGUAACAUCAAUACACACGAAUUUAGACUGCAAUUUCUUACUCACCAUGUUUACAGUAAAUAAAACAUCAUGCCAGAUGACCAUGCCAAGUAUAAAUUCAAGUUUCUCAAGUGCACUAGCCAAAGAUUUUGCGUCGCUCUUAGUCUUGGCGUCAUCAGUAGAAGUUCUCUUCAUUGUUCCAAUAAAGCUUUCCUUAACUCAGGUGCUUGAUAUCUGAUAGCAUGAACACUCUUUAUUCGACUCUCCCAUCGAGUGUUACACAAAGACUUAACUGUCAUUUUCGAAACAUGAUCAAGCAAUAGCUGCCAUCGUUUAGUAGAGCUUGAAAACAAUAUGUAAAUUCUUUGCACAACACCAAAGAAAGUUAUAGCUUUACCACAAGAUUUUGCCAUAUCACUAAGAGUAAGAUUCAGGCUGUGACAAGCACACAACAUGUACAAUGCUCUUGGAUUAGUUGCAAGCAAUCUGCUCUGUACCCCUUGGUUUUUUCCCUUCAUGUUUGAACCAUUGUCAUACCCUUGUCCACGUACAUCUUGAACAUUCAAACCAACAGAUUCAAGUGAAUCCAUUAACACAUUAUAAAUUCCAAGUCCCGAUGUAUCAUCCACCUUCAAGAACUCUAGAAGAAACUCCUCUAUUUUUGUACUGCUACUUGACAUGUUGACACAUCUCACAAUUAGAGUCAUUUGUUCUUGAUGGCUCACAUCAAGGGUACAGUCUAAAAGGACAGAGAAAUACCUUGCAUCCUUAAUUAUCCUCAAGAUAUAAUCUUUAACACUGCGAGCAAGAUGGGAAAUUAACUCAUUCUGUAUAUUAUGGCCAAGAUAAUGAUGAUGGAUUUCAUUAUUCUGAAUGCGCCGAAGAUGCUCUUGCAUUACAGGAUCAAAUUCUGCCAUCAUUUCAAUUACUCCCAAAAAGUUCCCAUUGUUAUCUUGAUAUAAUUUCUCAUUUGCUCCUCGAAAAGACAAAUUAUGUUUAGCAAGAAAUUUCACAGCAACAACAAUUCUAAUUAAAACUUGUCUCCAUCGCUGCUUCUCCCUUCCAAUCUCUUCUUGCAAAACUUUAUCAAUUGUUUCCUUCUUACUUAGCCUCAACCGCACCUCAUUCCAAGUAUUCAUGUUAGUGAUAUGCUCAACACCGUUCUCAUGUAAUUUGAGCUUCUCACUAAGAUGUUUCCAAUCCAUUAAUCCCUCAGAUGCUAGCAAACUUUUGCUGUUUUCAGAUUUGAACAAUUUGCAGCAAAAACAAUAAACUUUAUUCACAUGUUUAGAGUACACUAACCACCUGCGGUCACUGGCCUCACCAUUCCUUAGUUGUCUUGAGUAGUAAGCAUAUGAAAAAUGCCUCCCUUUCUUAUCCACAUGAAACACAAGAUUGUACUCCCUUGUAGGUCCUUUUUCAAUGAGAAUGUCUCUUGAUUUAUUGUCAAGAAUAUUCCAAGUUCUAGGAUCAUAAAUAUCAAAAGAAGAACCCUACUCAUCUAUGUUUCCAUGAUCACUAAAAUUUCCGGUGUUCUCAUCGGUAUCAACAUUGGCAUCAUUUUCCUCAACUGCAUUCUCAGUCUGAUCAGGUUUUUCUUCAGCAUUGGUGAUAUAUAAUUGUCCAGAAUUAGUAGCAGUAUCAGUCCUCAACAAGAAUUUAUUCAUAGACCCCUUUAGAGAUUGAGUCAACUUGUCUACUCGUUUCUUGUUAUUUCUUUUCGGAUGACCAGAUAGGUGUUUUUAGGCAACAUGAUUACACUACGAAUGGAUGCAGCUACAAGUGAUCAGUGAUGUAAAGAAAGAAUCAGUCACCGGAUUAAGAUUUUAGACUAAGAACAUAUAACACAAGAAAAUAGAGUUUAGAGACAGAUUUUUGAUCUGAAUUCUGAAAUUACCUAUCCUGCCUGCUGAUCUUGAUUGUCUUUUCCUGCCUGAGAUUUCUUGCCGAGAUGGACACAGCGUCGGGCGGGGCAGGGAUAACAGGGACGAGACCAGGGCCCUGGACGAGACGGCGACUGCACGAGUAGAUCAGGAGGGUGAUGGGCGAGUGGAUCAGUCGAUCAGGAGGGCGACGGGCGAGACGCAGGAGACUGCACGGUUGCAACUUGCACGAAGGGCGAGUGGAUCAGGAGACGAGCGGAGGCUGCGGAGCGAUCGCUAAUAAGGAACCAAAAUACGAUUCCUUGACGGAUCAGGAGACAAGAGAUCAAGGCCUGUGAGCGAUCCCUGCCUUUGCUAGUUCCCAAGGCGUGCGUUCCCAAGGCCUGCGAGCGAUCAAGGCUUGCGCGCGAUCCCUGCCUUCCUGGGCAGCUGGGCUGGCUCCUGGUUGUAUGUAUGGGCCUUUAUACCUGCUUUAUACAUACGUAUUCUCUAUAAAAUAUGGGCCCCUAUUUCGGCCGGGCCCCGGGCCGUCGCCCCUGCUGCCCUGGGCCAGAGCCGGCCCUGACGUCAUCGGCGAGCCCACAAGCGCGUCAUGGACGACGCCUUUGACAGUGCGAAGAUCACCUUUGUCAGGAAGGCUUGCUGGCUUGUCCCUCUUCGGAUUGCCGCUCUGUGGUCGUCCUUUUCCCGCCCAUAUUUUCGGAAGAGAGGCCCAUGGCAAGGAUAAGAGGGACAGUCACCAACCGUAGAGAGGGACGAAUGAUUGAGCUCCCCCCUCCCGAAGAGAUCUUCUUCUUCCUUGUAGUUUGUAACACUUAUGGAACACAAUAGAUAAGAACACACAAAAGAGGAGUAGGAUUUUACACCGCAAGGUGACCCGAACCUGGUUAAACUCUGGUGUCCCCGUGUGUGUUGUACGUGCGUGUCUCGGUCAUAGUCAAGGCGAGGUUGUAGACGCAUCUAGCUCCCCUGUGUUCGAAUUGGGUUCUUGAGAGGUUUUCCCAUAGGACCCAAACCAAUCUUCGACAUUUGGCGCACCAAGUAGGGGAGUUGCGUGUGCAUCUUCAUCCUCUGCUUUGCUCUCCGUCGACAUGACCGAGGUGCGACGCGAGAGUUAUGCGCGCCGGGCUAAGAGGGUACACACCAAGCCCACCGUCGAUGUCGGUCGAAGCGGGCGCGCUCCCGCCGCCAUCGAGCCCGCGGCUAGGGAGGUGCAGGCCUCCUCCUCCCCCCACAUCCGUGUAGCCGCCUCCGCCACGUGCGUGCAACACUACGAAGUCCUCCCACGGCCGAAGUGACCCACCGGCUCCACAAGCUGCACUUCUCAUGGCGCAUGAGUUACUUCGCUACAACCCCACCGUGGCCGGCUAGGAUGCAUAGCUCGCGUGCAUCACCGAGCUGGUCAACACCGCUGGAGACGCUUCGACUCUCUGCCACUCCAUGCCUCCUCCGCCACUGUGUGGCGCAGUGGCAGGGCAUGGUAUGCAUCAUCCUCCACCACCGCACGACAAUGAUGAUGGUCGGUGCCCCGGUGCGCGUGCACUGGUGCCGACCCCCGGAGCGUCAUCACCACCCCAUGAUGAUCCCAGCUCCAGGAUAGUCCAACGCAUGGAGCCCGACACACACGUUCUUCUCGAGAGACGUCGCGAACGCCAGGACCGCAUCCUCCAAGAUGUCGCGGUCGUAGGCUGCUAGAAUCGCGUCGCCCUUGCCUGUGGCAUUCCCUGUGGCAGCGGUUCAUGCAAUUCCUUCACCCGUGAGCUGCGCCGCGUGGUGUGGCCCACAUCGUUCAAGCGAGAACUGCCUCCAUGCUACGAUGGCACCCCCAACCCCACGAAGUUCCUGCAGCUCUACGCCAUCGACAUCCAAGUUGUCGACUCAAUGACAAGGUCAUGGUGAGCUGGUUUCCCAUGGCUCUCAAGGAUGUGACGCGCUCAUGGCUGAAGAACCUUCCUGAAGGCCCCAUCUCUUCAUGGCACGAGUUGUGCGCACAGUUUGUCUCCAACUUAAAGGGCACGUACGCGCACCGCCUCACCCCCAACAACUUGCAUGUCGUGCGGUAGCAACCGGGCGAAACCCUUUGCAAGUACAUCCCAUGCUUCAGUCACGUGCGCAACAAGAUCCUACGUGCAUCAGAUGCUGCCAUCAUUUCUUCAUUCUCCACGGGUGUCACGGACAUCAAGACGCACGAGAUGCUCGCCAUCAACGACGAGCUCGACACCAUGGCCAUGUUGUUCGACCUCGCUGACAAGUGUGUCAAGGCUGAAGAGGGCUACCUCUUUUCCCACAACGACAUAGACGUUGUCACCAACACCGCCAUGGAUAAGAGCAAGGAUGUCAAGAGCAAAGGCCCCACCGUGCUUGAGGCAGAGCCUGAGUAGAAGCGCAAGCAUGAAUGCAAGAAAGCACCCAAGAAGCCUUUCUGCGCCCACCAGAGCAUGAAAUCCCACAACACCGAGGACUGCCACGAGCUCAGGCUGCUUCAUGAGCAGGGGCAGAACCUCUGGCCCAGUCAUGGCACAGGCCGCAGCAGUGGCAACCGCUAGGGAGACCGCAACAAUAACAACGACAAUGAUGUCAGCAACAACCGCCAAGGAUGGCAGGACCAGCCACGCCGUGCCAACCCUCGAGCCAGCGGCCUUCCUUCACGACCCGUCACCAACACUGACAACCUGUCCGAUGAGGACGUUGGGGACUACCAGGAGCCCCGUAGGAUAGCGUGCAUCCUUGGCGGAUCCGAGGCUUCCUCCUUCAACCGCCACCUCAACCACUUCUCCCACAAGGUGAAUACGGCCCUACCGGGCUCUGAGGCCUCGAUGCCCCUCAAGUGGUCUUAGUGUGCAAUCACCUUCGACUCCAUGGACCACCCCAAGUCCACGAGGGUUGUUGGCACUAUCCCCAUGAUGUGCACUCCCACCAUAAAAAACGCAUGCGUCACCAAGUGUAACGCCCAAGAUGCGAUCCUAUCCUUAAUUUGGCACGAGGGCCUCGUCAGGGAUAGAAGUGCAUCUCGUCGUUUCGCAAGAAUGGAUAUUGUUACAAGUACAUGUACUGAAGAGAAUAGUAUAUGGAAUUGGCUUACACUCGCCACAUGCUACAUCAGAGUCACAUCAGUACAAUACAUAAAUACCAUGAAGAAGAGCAGGGUCCGACUACGGACGAAAACAAACAAGAAAAGAAAAACGACGUCCAUCCUUGCUAUCCCAGGAUGCCGGCCUGGAACCCAUCCUAGAUCGAUGAUGAAGAAGAAGAAGCAACUCCAAAUGAACAAUUAACGUGCUCGCGUCAAGUAAUCUUUACCUCUACCUGCAACUGGUGUUG
Molecule: long non-coding RNA, 8013 nt
Filed under: Hordeum vulgare
Lineage: Eukaryota; Viridiplantae; Streptophyta; Magnoliopsida; Poales; Poaceae
Description: long non-coding RNA (HVUL_LNC016756)
Source: RNAcentral